This is a long non-coding RNA of Vicia villosa (hairy vetch), 4702 nucleotides long. RefSeq lists it as uncharacterized. NCBI's taxonomy places the organism in Eukaryota, Viridiplantae, Streptophyta, Magnoliopsida, Fabales, Fabaceae. The transcript has 3 exons. The record is from RefSeq and is a predicted model, not a curated record.
UAACAACCUUUCUUUCUUAAUUCACUCAAUACAAUAUUUUGUUGUGAUUUGCAAGGUAGUUUCGAGAUAUAUAUAUACACAAAUCAACUUGACUAGUCAUUUUUAAAAGUAUUUUUUGAAAUUAGGAGAGAAUAAUUAAUAAACUAUUUAAUAGUUGCAUAUUCGUGGGAAAAUGUUCAUUGGUCAAACAUACAUACAGUGAUACUAUACUAGCCACUUUAUUAUUUUUCUAUGCUUCUUCACAAGCUGCAAAGUUUGCAAACUAGAAAGAAAGAUAGUAUAUAUAUCUUAGCAAGGAAAAAUUCUAAGGAUUAAAGAUGAAGCUCAUGAAUGAGUGAAACUGGUGAUGCAGAAAGCAAAAUCAAGAUAUUGACGCGCUUCAAUUUGACGACAUGGCUAUAAAAAUGCAUUAUAUCAGCCAUGUAGUUUGAUUGAGCCGCGUCAAUAUCUUGUUUCCAUCUCCAAAUUUACCCAUAUCUCAUCAAACGCCAUAAGCAAGGUAUUCUUGCGUUUUCGGAGCCUUGAGGAAUAAAGUGUCGAAGACACGGCUGCGAGAGCCUUGAGGAAAUAAUUCUGCUGUUCUGGUGCAGGGCGCUUCGCGCGCUGUAGGGCGCGUCGCGCCCUCUUUGAGUUUGAAGAGCUUAGUCUGGCAGAAGUUAGGGCGCGUCGCGCCGGAUUAGGGCGCGUCGCGCCGGAGGGCGGUUUGCUAAAUUUAUAAAGGGCGCAUCGCGCCGAAAUAGGGCGCGUCGCGCCCACUGCGAAACUCAGUUUUGUAUAAAUAGUUAAUAACAGAUUUUUUAGGUUUUUUAUCACCUCUUCUUGACAAGUUGAGCUCUGAUCCUUUUUUGGUAGUUUAGAGGCUUAGGAAACACCAUUGGGUGAGACGUCAUGUGGAUUGAUCAUGGAUCUGACUCGAUUUCAUUGUACCGGUGAGAUCUUUCCAGUUCAUCUUCUCUCUUCCCUUUGUUUCAUUCCAAUGGUGGGUGUUGUAUGUUUGUUUCUACUCUUAAUGUAUGUAUAUUUGUGGAUCUUGGGAUCGUUUAUAUAUUCUCUUUACAAAUCAUCAUUGUUGUUGUUCUUGAUCUUUUUGCUUAAAUGCUCUGGAUUUGUGUUGUUGCAGACAUGGACACCAUAGAUUUUGAUUAGGAAUGAUAAUUGUUAGUUUCUGGGUUGCAGACAUGGAUUCAGGAUUAACAAUCUUAGUGGGUAUCGAGUCUAAUGCCUCCGUGUUGUUUGUGUCGGUGGAGAAAUCGCUGAUGUGAAUAGUACGGUUGAGCUUUCGUCGGUGUUGCAGACAUGGGCACCGAUGCGGCAUCUCGAGUGAUGCCCGGUGAUGUUGAUGCGUAUUGUGAGUGUAGAGCGAUAGAUCUUCAGAUUUAAGUAUUCGACGGGUAGAACGAAAUGCAAUUCCAUAACUAUUUCUCUUAGGCUAUUGAGAUUGUUUAUCUGCUUUUAUUUACUUUUCCCGCAUUUACCUUUCCGCACCCAAAUCAUGAAACUUAGAACGCGAGAUAGUCGAACGGCAGUUCUUCUCACCGAUCUCUGUGGACACGAUAAUUCCCGGAUGAAUACUUCCAAAACUUUUGUUGCUUGCCGCUUUACCGCUUCAACAAAAUGGCGCCGUUGCCGGGGAUUGGUUGAGAUUAAUCGCAUUGCGAUGGUUUUAUGUUUUAAGUUUCGUAUAGUUUUGAUUAAGUGUUUGGGCAGGUCAUUUUCUUUAGGUUGCGUUUGAGGCGAAAGCAUUGGCGUACCGCGAGGAAGUUUCUUACCAUUCGCGAAACAAUAAAGGCGUCGAGCUAACGACGUUAAACGAGCGCUUGUUGGGAGGCACCCCAACGGUUUUAUUUUUCUGUUUUUCUGUAAUUGAGUUUUGUAGGUGUUAAGUGGUGGCUCACUGGAAAAUCUGUCUUUUUAGACUGGUCUGGUUUUUCUGGUGUAGCGCGCGUCGCGCGCUCAUGGGUGCGUCGCGCGCUGGGUUGCUUUUGGCCAGUGACCUCUUUUUAACGGGUCACUCGGCUCGCCUUUUUCCCACUUACACCAAGGCUUUAUAGUAUAGUAUUUUAUCGAUUUAUUUUUAAUUCUUUUGUUUGUGUUUAGACUCAAAUUUUGGCCCGAUUACUUGGAGUCGCAUUUGGUAAUUCUCCGAUUGUGAUAGAUUCAACAUGCCGGUUGUGCGGUAAUGAUUGUUCGAAUUUGUACAUAGCAAGGUACUCGUUUAUCGCUUUCUAUAGCAUAGCAUGUUUUUGAGACUUUUCAUUUGUACAAAUUUCAUACUAUUCAUUCUUUUUGCAUAACUUGCUCAUGACUUGAAUCACAAUUAGUUUCCCCUUUUUACCAUAAAUGUGAGGUGGCUUUCCAUUGUGUAUAUAUGUGAGUGACCGACAUUUCUUGUUUUAACUGGAUAUUAUUAUGUUUAAUCUUUCGUCUGUAUCGAUUUUGUGAAUGCACGAAAGUGAUCAAGGCACUUGUUUGAUUUUGAGCACAACUACCAUAAGCCAAAUGUCAUUUUACCUUGUGAGUGUGUGACCAUUCGUACCCCCUUUGAGCCUUUUUGUCAUUGUCCAUUUUGUUUUUGAACUUGAGACAUAGUUCACCCUUUUUGAUGGAUUUUGAUUAUCUUUGUUUUCUUGACCUUAACUAUGAUGUUUAGUUGGAUUUUUACCUUGCCUUAGAAAGUAGGGAGUAUUCACUUUAUGUUAUGGUUGAAUUCAAGUUGGGGAGAAGGUGUUUGCCUCUUUAUGUUGUGAUUGAUGUGAGGUUAAGAAAAGAAAAAGAAAAAAAAAGUGAGAAAGAAAGAAAAGAAAAAGAAAGAAAAAAAGAGAAAAGCUUGAAAAAGAAAAGAACAAAAAGAGUUUUGAAUAAGAGUGUGCUAAUAAGUUUUGUGUUUGGUGUGAAAUUUGUGAUGAAGAGAAAAGUUGGAUUGAAAUUGUAUUGUUUGAAACUUUGUGGAAGUAAUUACUCCCUUAGGUUUAGGCAAGUUUUUGUUUCGAUUAGCUUUAGGACUUAUCACUUGUUUGUUAACCGAGCCACAUUACAACCUUAAAAGCCCUUGUGAUUCGUGCUGUUGCAUUUUCAAUACUAUUUUUAGAUGAAUGCAUAAUUUUGUCUAUUGUUUUCAAGAUUGUUGGAUGAGUGUUCAAAGUCCUCACCUUUCGGUGUUUUUCAUCUACAGAUGAGUUUUUGCUAGGCGUGAUUCAUUAUUGAGCUUGUUUUGUUUUAGGAUGUUUUGUAUGAAUUUUUGUACUUAGGAAUCGUUUCAUUUUCAUGUUGUCAUUGUAGGAUAGUGGUAAGUAUUUACUUUUUUCGUACGUUUUUGUUUGAACCGUACAAUUGUUUUGUUUUUCCAAAUCUUGUUGAUUCUUGAUUCUUUGGAUUUUUACUUUUGCGAUUUGAGUGUUUGGCCCUGUUUGAGGACAAACAGAUUCUAGUUGGGGAGAGUUGUUAAGUGCCAAAUUGUAGUUAUUUUGUGUAUGUAAAUAGUGGCACUUAUCAAUGCUUUUUGUUAAUACCGUUUGAAUAAUCCCCCGUUUUUGUGUAAUUACGUUAACUUUACGAAUACUUGUAUUUUCAUACACUUUUAUACCGUUUGAUAGUUUUGUUGUAUUUUUGUAGGUAUUCUUGCAUUUUCGGAGCCUUGAGGAAUAAAGUGUCGAAGACACGGCUGCGAGAGCCUUGAGGAAAUAAUUCUGCUGUUCUGGUGCAGGGCGCUUCGCGCGCUGUAGGGCGCGUCGCGCCCUCUUUGAGUUUGAAGAGCUUAGUCUGGCAGAAGUUAGGGCGCGUCGCGCCGGAUUAGGGCGCGUCGCGCCGGAGGGCGGUUUGCUAAAUUUAUAAAGGGCGCAUCGCGCCGAAAUAGGGCGCGUCGCGCCCACUGCGAAACUCAGUUUUGUAUAAAUAGUUAAUAACAGAUUUUUUAGGUUUUUUAUCACCUCUUCUUGACAAGUUGAGCUCUGAUCCUUUUUUGGUAGUUUAGAGGCUUAGGAAACACCAUUGGGUGAGACGUCAUGUGGAUUGAUCAUGGAUCUGACUCGAUUUCAUUGUACCGGUGAGAUCUUUCCAGUUCAUCUUCUCUCUUCCCUUUGUUUCAUUCCAAUGGUGGGUGUUGUAUGUUUGUUUCUACUCUUAAUGUAUGUAUAUUUGUGGAUCUUGGGAUCGUUUAUAUAUUCUCUUUACAAAUCAUCAUUGUUGUUGUUCUUGAUCUUUUUGCUUAAAUGCUCUGGAUUUGUGUUGUUGCAGACAUGGACACCAUAGAUUUUGAUUAGGAAUGAUAAUUGUUAGUUUCUGGGUUGCAGACAUGGAUUCAGGAUUAACAAUCUUAGUGGGUAUCGAGUCUAAUGCCUCCGUGUUGUUUGUGUCGGUGGAGAAAUCGCUGAUGUGAAUAGUACGGUUGAGCUUUCGUCGGUGUUGCAGACAUGGGCACCGAUGCGGCAUCUCGAGUGAUGCCCGGUGAUGUUGAUGCGUAUUGUGAGUGUAGAGCGAUAGAUCUUCAGAUUUAAGUAUUCGACGGGUAGAACGAAAUGCAAUUCCAUAACUAUUUCUCUUAGGCUAUUGAGAUUGUUUAUCUGCUUUUAUUUACUUUUCCCGCAUUUACCUUUCCGCACCCAAAUCAUGAAACUUAGAACGCGAGAUAGUCGAACGGCAGUUCUUCUCACCGAUCUCUGUGGACACGAUAAUUCCCGGAUGAAUACUUCCAAAACUUUUGUUG